Molecule: transfer RNA, 74 nt
Filed under: Spirochaetota bacterium
Lineage: Bacteria; Pseudomonadati; Spirochaetota
Description: Spirochaetes bacterium tRNA-Val
Rfam family: tRNA
About the family: Transfer RNA (tRNA) molecules are approximately 80 nucleotides in length. Their secondary structure includes four short double-helical elements and three loops (D, anti-codon, and T loops). Further hydrogen bonds mediate the characteristic L-shaped molecular structure. tRNAs have two regions of fundamental functional importance: the anti-codon, which is responsible for specific mRNA codon recognition, and the 3' end, to which the tRNAs corresponding amino acid is attached (by aminoacyl-tRNA synthetases). tRNAs cope with the degeneracy of the genetic code in two manners: having more than one tRNA (with a specific anti-codon) for a particular amino acid; and 'wobble' base-pairing, i.e. permitting non-standard base-pairing at the 3rd anti-codon position.
Source: RNAcentral
GGGCGAUUAGCUCAGUCGGUUAGAGCGCCUGCCUCACAUGCAGGAGGUCGUUGGUUCGAGUCCAAUAUCGCCCA